RNAcentral lists this unclassified non-coding RNA (134 nucleotides) under soil metagenome. Its description in RNAcentral is "partial internal transcribed spacer 1". The record is from RNAcentral.
CCGAGUUAUCCAACUCCCAACCCCUGUGAAUUAUACCUUUAAUUGUUGCUUCGGCGGGACUUCGCGCCCGCCGGGGACCCAAACCUUCUGAAUUUUUUAAUAAGUAUCCUCUGAGUGGUUAAAAAAAUGAAUCA